This 490-nucleotide ribosomal RNA is filed under the name uncultured bacterium. Its description in RNAcentral is "partial 16S ribosomal RNA". It matches the Rfam family "Bacterial small subunit ribosomal RNA", at positions 29 to 523 of the family's 1533-position model. The record is from RNAcentral.
AUUGAACGCUGGCGGCAUGCCUUACACAUGCAAGUCGAACGGGGGUAGCAAUACCCUAGUGGCGAACGGGUGAGUAAAGCAUCGGAACGUACCCAGUCGUGGGGGAUAACGUAGCGAAAGUUACGCUAAUACCGCAUACGUCCUGAGGGAGAAAGCGGGGGAUCGCAAGAACUCGCGCGAUUGGAGCGGCCGAUGUCGGAUUAGCUAGGUGGUAGGGUAAAAGCCUACCAAGGGGACGAUCCGUAGCUGGUCUGAGAGGACGACCAGCCACACUGGUACUGAGACACGACCCAGACUCCGACGGGAGGCAGCAGUGGGGAAUUUUGGACAAUGGGGGAAACCCUGAUCCAGCCAUGCCGCGUGAGUGAAGAAGGCCUUCGGGUUGUAAAGCUCUUUCAGACGGAAAGAAAUUGCGCAGGUAAAUAAUCUGUGUAGAUGACGGUACCGUAAGAAGAAGCACCGGCUAACUACGUGCCAGCCGCCGCGGUAA